Molecule: long non-coding RNA, 19546 nt
Filed under: Panax ginseng (ginseng)
Lineage: Eukaryota; Viridiplantae; Streptophyta; Magnoliopsida; Apiales; Araliaceae
Description: long non-coding RNA (PGIN_LNC014644)
Source: RNAcentral
AGAAUAAAAAAGAAAAUAUACCGAUAAAUAGUACCUCAUGUUCCAAGAGAAGUAAAAACUUCUAAAUUUAGCAAGCUUGCUAAGAAUCAAUACAACCUGCAAAAUAUUAUAAAAUUUUUGUUCAAACUUAUAUCGCAUUAGUACAAUAUCAUUCAAACAACAAUUUCUAAUUUAAAUAAUACAUUUGCUACUGAAAUUUCUUCAUGCUUGUAAAUAUCAAUAUUAAUCCAAUUUCAAGAAGCUGAAUCUCCCAUCUAUUACCCUUGUCUUCAGCUUACAUGGCUUGUGAGUUGUACAUUAUGAAAAUUCACUCAACAUUUUCAAACCACACCCUAUGCCUUACAUUUAUAGUAAGUUCUAUAUUACAAAAUUUUCACUUGGCACAACCCAUAUAAAGACAUAAAAAGAAAUAUCAAUACAUAUUCAAAAGGGUGCCCCAAGUGUAAAAUUAUCUCUCAACAAAAGUACAAAAUAAACUAGAAUAUUAAAUACAAUAUAACAAAUACACUAAAUAGAUACACGAAAAAACUCAUUUAAAAUUCAUAUCACAGUAAGUAAGUAGGACAUCAACUAAUAACGAAACAUAAUAACAAAACAUCCAAACAUAUAUAACAAAAUAAAAAAACAACAAAAAAAAAUUACAAUCACAUUCAUCAACGAAACAUCACAUUCACAAACAAAAUCAGCAUUCAUCAAAAAAAAUUACAAUAUUCCAACAAAACAUUACAUUCAAAACAAAUAUUACAAUAUUCCGAAAAAAUAUCACACAAUAAAAAAAAUAACACAUAUAUAACACAUUCGUCAAGCAAGACCAAUACAAAAAAUUAUAAUAUUCCAAUUAAAGUUUAAUAACUAUCGGUAAACAUAUAUAACACAUUUUAUAUAAUAUAUAUUUAUAUAGUAUAUAUAUAUAUAUAUAUAUAUAUAUAUAUAAUUUAAUAUAAUGUGUAUCUAUACAUACAUAUGUAUAUUACGUAUAUAAUCUAUCACAAAAUCCAAAUCCCACUACAUUAUUACUACCUCCCUUUUCUCUUCAAGAAAGGCUGCUACUUUUGUCAAACAUAUCUUCUCAAACAAAGAAUUGAAGUUAGAAAGAAAUAAGAAUAAAAAAGAAAAUAUACCAAUAAAUAGUAUCUCAUGUUCCAAGAGAAGUAAAAACUUCUAAAUUUAGCAAGCUUGCUGAGAAUCAAUACAACCCGCAAAAUAUUAUAAAAAAUUUGUUCAAACUUAUAGCGCAUUAGUACAAUAUCAUUCAAACAACAUUUUCUAAUUUAAAUAAUACAUUUGCUACUGAAAUUUCUUCAUGCUUGUAAAUAUCAAUAUUGAUCCAAUUUCAAGAAGCUGAAUUUCCCAUCUUUUAUCCUCGCCUUCAUUUUACAUGGCUUGUGAGUUGUACAUUACAAAAAUUCACUCAACCUUUCCGAACCACACUCUAUGCCUUACAUUUAUAGUAAGAUCUACAUUACAAAAUUUUCACUUGGUACAACCCAUAUAGAGACAUGCAAAGAAAUAUCAAUACAUAUUACAAAAGGGUGGCCCAAGUGGAAAAUUAUCUCUCAACAAAAGUACAAAAUAAACAAGAAUAUUAAAUGCAAAAUAUAACAAAUACUCUAAAUAGAUACACGAAAAAAUUCAUUCAAAAUUCAUAUCACAAUAAGUAGGGCAUCAACCACCAACGAAACAUAAUAACAAAAUAUCCAAACAUAUAUAACAAAAUAAAAAAAUAACACAAAAAAAAUUACAAUCACAUUCAUCAACGAAACAUCACAUUCACAAACAAAAUCAACAUUCAUCAAAAAAAAUUACAAUAUUCCAACAAAACAUUACAUUCAAAACAAAUAUUACAAUAUUCCGAAAAAACAUCACAAUAACAAAAAAAAUAACACAUAUAUAACACAUUCAUAGAGCAAGACCAAUACAAAAAAUUACAAUAUUCCAAAUAAAGUUUAAUAACUAUCGGUAAACAUAUAUAACACAUUUUAUAUAAUGUAUAUUUAUAUAAUAUAUAUAUAUAAUAUAAUGUGUAUUUAUACAUACAUAUGUAUAUUACGUAUAUUAUAUAAUAUAUAACAUAAUACUUAUUCAGAUAUACAUGUAUACAUACACAUGUAUAUUAUGUAUAUUACAUAAUAAUAUAAUAUAAUUAUAUCACUAUCCUAAAUAUUUAGAACCUAUAAAACGAGCCAUCUUCUACGCCUAUACCUACUUACGGCUCUUUUUCUACCUAAAUCUAUCACAAAAUUCAAAUUCCACUACAUUCUUACUACCUCCCUUUUCUCUUCAAGAAAGGCUGCUACUUUUGUCAAACCUGUGUUCUCAAACAAAAAUUGAAGUUAGAAAGAAAUAAGAAUAAAAAAAAAAAUAUACUGAUAAAUAGUACCUCAUGUUCCAAGAGAAGUAAAAACUUCUAAAUUUAGCAAGCUUGCUAAGAAUCAAUACAACCUGCAAAAUAUUAUAAAAUUUUUGUUCAAACUUAUAGCGCAUUAGUACAAUAUCAUUCAAACAACAUUUUCUAAUUUAAAUAAUACCUUUGCUACUGAAAUUUCUUUAUGCUUGUAAAUAUCAAUAUUAAUCCAAUUUCAAGAAGCCGAAUCUCCCAUCUAUUACCCUCGUCUUCAGCUUACAUGGCUUGUGAGUUGUACAUUAUGAAAAUUCACUCAACAUUUUCAAACCACACCCUAUGCCUUACAUUUAUAGUAAGUUCUAUAUUACAAAAUUUUCACUUGGCACAACCCAUAUAAAGACAUAAAAAGAAAUAUCAAUACAUAUUCAAAAGGGUGCCCCAAGUGUAAAAUUAUCUCUCAACAAAAGUACAAAAUAAACUAGAAUAUUAAAUNNNNNNNNNNNNNNNNNNNNNNNNNNNNNNNNNNNNNNNNNNNNNNNNNNNNNNNNNNNNNNNNNNNNNNNNNNNNNNNNNNNNNNNNNNNNNNNNNNNNUUCAAGUCAUGACCUUUUGGGAGCCUGUGGUGGGCUAAGAUGACCCAAGAAGAUACUAUUGGGCCAGUAGUUUGAGGCCUUAAUUUGAUGGAUUCGAUUCGGACUUGGAAUUUGACCCAAGAUUUGUCCCGGACUUGGGAUUUGACCCGAGUUGUUUCAUAUGGUAUCAAAGCUGACUCUCGAAAGCUCGGGUCGGGUCAUCUGAUCGAGUUGCCGGAGGUGGGGACACGAAGGCUGGUGGUAUUAUCCCACAAUGGAGAGAUGGAGGUCCGGAGCUGGGGACACGAAGCCAGUCGAUAUUAUCCCAUUAUCCCACAAUGGCUAGGGAGGCAAAGAUCUUUGGGCCGUGUGUGUGAUCGGUUCUGACGAGGACGUCAGAAAUUUAAGUGGGGGAGGUUGUAACACCCCAGUCCCACAUCGAAAGAUAGGGGAAAAAUUUGUCUGCAUAUAAGGAAAUAAGUUACUACCAAUAGUACCUUCAAGUCAUGACCUUUUGGGAGCAUGUGGUGGGCUAAGAUGACCCAAGAAGAUACUAUUGGGCCAGUAGUUUGAGGCCUUAAUUUGAUGGAUUCGAUUCGGACUUGGAAUUUGACCCAAGAUUUGUUCCGGACUUGGGAUUUGACCCGAGUUGUUUCAUAUUAAUGAUGAUAUUGUAAUAAAAUUUUGUAAAUUUAUUUAAAUUGAACGGAGAGAAUCUAAACGAGUCAAAUUUAGAGUAUAAAUUUUGGGUAUUACACUGCUUAAUCCAAGUAUGGAUUCCGUACUAUUUCAGCGAGACUCUUUUAUUUUUAAUUUGUUUGUUUCGUUAUUCGUUUCAAAAUUUAGUUUUGUCUCUCAUAACUGUUCCUUCUUAAAUUCGUGAGAAUGUUUCAUUUUGGCAGUAGUAUUUGAAACUAGUAUUUGUACUCUUUGGUCUAGUGUGUCAUGGUUAAUAUUUAUUUCGAUCUUUGUAGAAAGUACAUGUUAAUAUAUUUGGAGACUUUGUGUUGAUAUUUUAUUUCAGUUUAACAUGUACAUGUUAGAACCCCUUUGUUGUGUCACAUGUGUUGUGACAUUAUAUUUUAUUAGAAUACUGUAGGGUAUACCUGAGCUAUAACCACCUAUGGGGGUACCACAGGCAUGUCCUCUUGGCACCGAGGCAUGACACCUUCCAUGGCGGUGUGAUCAGUCCACGGCGUCUCCAUUUUGUGCUCCGUUGGGAGUUGGCCAUUUGGUAUUUUGUUGUGAGAGGCGUAUGUGUCGACCCUAGUUUUUCUGUUCUGUUCCGCGAAUUGGUGAUGUUUGUGCCAAACACGCCUUCCGAUUUUGCACGCAUCUAGAUUGCGCAGUCCGAUGUGUGAUUGCCUGUGUGGCAUUAUUUGACUUGCAUGUGUGGCAAGGUAUAUUUCUUUUUUGUUCUGAGCUCGGUAUGAAAUAACACCCAACCAUUUGAUUCAGCCUAUUAUUUCGUUGUGUUAGUUUCAGUUCGUUUCGCUUCAUUUCAUUAAAUUGAGUUAGUUACUUCGGUUCAUUAUUUGUAUUCUAUAUUCGUACUGGGCAUUUGGCUCAUGCUGUGUUUUUAUUCCGACAGGUAAUCAGGGGGAUCAAGGGCAAGUGUGAUGAGAGCUCCAUUCAUUCCAAUGAUUUAGAAAUAUUCUGUUUAGACUUGAUGUGUCAGCUUACUUGGAAUUGUAAUAAUUAUUUUAGAUUGUGGUUUGAGACAGUUUGAGAUUUAUUAUGGUUGACUUGUGGUAUUUAUCAGUUAUUAAGACUAUUCUUUUGUGGCUUUGAGCCUUGCUAUUAAAUUCAUCAAUUUUAUUAUGUUUUGAGUAACCUCUCUUUCUAUUUCGGAAAGGGGGUGUUACAAUAAAACAUCCAAACAUAUAUAACAAAAUAAAAAAACAACACCACAAAAAAAUUACAAUGACAUUCAUCAAUGAAUCAUCACAUUCACAAACAAAAUCAACAUUCAUAAAAAAAAUUACAGUAUUCCAACGAAACAUCACGUUCAAAAUAAAUAUUACAAUAUUCUGACGAAACAUCACACAAUAACAAAAAAAAUAACACAUAUAUAUAACACAUUCAUCAAGCAAGACCAAUACAAAAAAUUACAAUAUUCCGAACAAAGUUUAAUAACUAUCUGUAAACAUAUAUAACACAUUUUAUAUAAUAUAAUAAUGUGUAUCUAUACAUACAUAUGUAUAUUACGUAUAUAACAUAAUAUAUAAUAUAAUACAUAAAUAGAUAUACAUGUAUUCAUACACAUGUGUAUACAAUAUAAUACAUAAAUAGAUAUACAUGUAUUCAUACACAUGUGUAUAUAUAAUAUAAUAGAUAUACAUCACAUAGAUAUAUUACAUAAUAAUAUAAUAUAAUUAUAUCACUUUCCUAAAUAUUUAGAACCUAUAAAACUAGCCAUCUGCUACGCCUAUACCAACUUACGGCUCUUUUUCUACCAAAAUCUAUCACAAAAUCCUCCCACUACAUUCUUACUACCUUCCUUUUCUCUCCAAGAAAGGCAACUUUUGUCAAACCUAUGUUCUCAAACAAAAAUUUAAGUUAGAAAGAAAUCAUAAUAAAAAAAAAAUGUACCAAUAAAUAGUACCUCAUGUUCCAAGAGAAGUAAAAACUUCUAUAUUUAGCAAGCUUGCUAAGAAUAAAUACAACCUGCAAAAUAUUACUAAAAUUUUGUUCAAACUUAUAUCGCAUUAGUACAAUAUCAUUCAAACAACAAUUUCUAAUUUAAAUAAUAUAUUUGUUACUGAAAUUUCUUCAUGCUUGUAAAUAUCAAUAUUGAUCCAAUUUCAAGAAGCUGAAUCUCGCAUCUUUUACCCUCGUCUUCAGCUUACAUGGCUUGUGAGUUGUACAUUACAAAAAUUCACUCAACCUUUUCAAACCACACUCUAUGCCUUACAUUUAUAGUAAGUUCUACAUUACAAAAUUUUCACUUGGCACAACCCAUAUAGAGAUAUACAAAGAAAUAUCAAUACAUAUUCAAAAGGGUGUCCCAAGUGUAAAAUUAUCUCUCAAUAAAAGUACAAAAUAAACUAGAAUAUUAAAUACAAAAUAUAACAAAUACACUAAAUAGAUACACGAAAAAACUCAUUCAAAAUGCAUAUCAGAAUAAGUAUGAGGACAUUAACCACCAACGAAACAUAAUAAUAAAACAUCCAAACAUAUAUAACAAAAUAAAAAAAAAUUACAAUGACAUUCAUCAAUAAAACAUCACAUUCACAAACAAAAUCAACAUUCAUCAAAAAAAAUUACAAUAUUCCAACGAAACAUCACAUUCAAAACAAAUAUUACAAUAUUCCGACGAAACAUCACACAAUAACAAAAAAAAUAACACACAUAUAUAACACGUUCAUCAAGCGAGACCAAAACAAAAAAUUACAAUAUUCCAAACAAAGUUUAAUAACUAUCCGUAAACAUAUAUAACACAUUUUAUAUAAUAUAAUAUAUAAUAUAAUACAUAUAUAGAUAUACAUGUAUACAUACACGUGUAUAUUACGUAUAAUACAUAAUAAUAUAAUAUAAUAGAUAUACAUGUAUACAUACAUAUGUAUAUUACAUAAUAAUAUAAUAUAAUAUAAUAUAAUUAUAUCACUUUCUUAAAUAUUCAGAACCUAUAAAACUAGCCAUCUUCUAUGCAUAUACCUACUUACGGCUCUUUUUCUACCCAAAUUUAUAACAAAAUCCAAAUCCCACUACAUUCUUACUACCUCCCUUUUCUCUUCAAGAAAGACAACUUUUGUCAAACCUGUGUUUUCAAACAAAAAUUUUAGUUAGAAAGAAAUAAGAAUAAAAAAAAUAUAUACCGAUAAAUAGUACCUCAUGUUCCAAGAGAAGUAAAAACUUCUAAAUUUAGCAAGCUUGCUAAAAAUCAAUACAACCUGCAAAAUAUUACUAAAAUUUUGUUCAAACUUAUAUCGCAUUAGUACAAUAUCAUUCAAACAACAAUAUCUAAUUUAAAUAAUACAUUUGCUACUGAAAUUUCUUCAUGCUUGUAAAUAUCAAUAUUGAUCCAAUUUCAAAAAGUUGAAUCUCCCAUCUUUUACCCUCGUCUUUAGCUUACAUGACUUGUGAGUUGUACAUUACAAAAAUUCACUCAACCUUUUCAAACCACACUCCAUGCCUUACAUUUAUAGUAAGUUCUACAUUACAAAAACUUCACGUGGCACAACCCAUAUAGAGACGUACAAAGAAAUAUCAAUAUAUAUUCAAAAGGGUGCCCCAAGUGUAAAAUUAUCUCUCAACAAAAGUACAAAAUAAACUAGAAUAUUAAAUACGAUAUAACAAAUAAACUAAAUAGAUACACGAAAAAACUCAUUCAAAAUUCUUAUCACAAUAAGCCUAAUACAUGAUUUUUGAUAGUUUAAUCAAUAACCACCAACACGAAGCAUCACAUUCAAGCAAGACCAAUAAAAAAAAUUACAAUAUUCCAAACAAAGUUUAGAAUUACACGACUCAUACCAUAAACCAAUCCGAAAACAUAUGUAACAUAUUUUAUAUAAUAUAUAAUAUAAUGUGUAUCUAUACAUACAUAUGUAUAUUAUAUUACGUAUAUAAUAUAAUAAUACAUAAUAAUAUAAUAUAAUAUAAUAUAAUUAUAUCACUUUCCUAAAUAUUUAGAACCUAUAAAACUAGCCAUCUUCUACGCCUAUACCUACUUACGGAUCUUUUUCUACCCAAAUCUAUCACAAAAUCCAAAUCCCACUACAUUCCUUACUACCUCCCUUUUCUUUUCAAGAAAAGCAGCUACUUUUGUCAAACCCGUAUUCUCUAAUAAAAAUUUAAGUUAAGACCGAUAAAUAGUACCUCCCAUUCCAAGAAAAGUAAAGACUUUUAAAUUGAGCAAGCUUACAGAGAAUCAAUACAACCUGUAAAAUAUUUUUAAAAUCUCGUUCAAACUUAAAUCACAUUAAUACAAUAUCAUUCAAACAUAGCAAACAACAAUUUCUAAUUUUAAUAAUACACUUGCUACAGAAAUUUCUUCAUGCUUGCAAAUACUAAUAUUGAUCCAAUUUCAAGAAGUUGAAUCUCCUAUCUUUUACCUCCAUCUUCAACUUACAUGGUUGUGAGUUGUAAAAAAAAGUUUUUAUUACAAGUUUUAUGUGCUUUGGAUGCAAUUAUAUUAGCAACUUUCUGCAUUUGCUCAUGAAUUGUUUAAUUCAUGUAAUUGUAUGUUUGUCUAAAUCUUCUUUCUAGACUGUAUGUUUAUUUGUGUGUGCAUCUAGACUGUAUGUUUAUUUUUAUACUUGUCAAAUAAAAGUUUUAAUUAACAUAAUGGAUGUUAUACUUUCAUACAUAUAUGUUAUGGUGGUUAUACUUUUAUACUUGCAAUGGGAAUAACUUUAUGAAUGUUAUAUUUUUAUGCUUAUAUGGUAACACAUAGUUAUAAUUUAAUGUGUGUCGACCUUUUAAAUUUUGGUUGUACUACCUUGGNNNNNNNNNNNNNNNNNNNNNNNNNNNNNNNNNNNNNNNNNNNNNNNNNNNNNNNNNNNNNNNNNNNNNNNNNNNNNNNNNNNNNNNNNNNNNNNNNNNNAUAAUAAUAAUAAUAAUAAUAAAAUAAAAAUAAUCACAAUAAUAAUAAAAUAAAAACAGUUUUUUUAUAAAAAAAAGAUUUUUUAAAAAACAGGUUUUUUUAAAAAAACAAGUUUUUUUAAAAAAAACAGAUGUUUAAAAAAACAAUUUUUUAAAAAAGCAGCUCUUUCCAAAAAAAUUGAUUUUUAAAAAAAAGAGAUUUUUUUAAAAAACAGUUUUUUUAUAAAAAAAAACGAUUUUUUUACAAAACAGUUUAUUUUUAAAAAAACAGAUUUUUUUUAAAAAAACAUUUUUAAAAAAAAACAGAUUUUUAAAAAAAAGAUAUUUUACAAAAACAGGUUUUUUUUUAAAAAAACAGAUUUUUAAAAAAACAGUUUUUUAAAAAAACAGUUUUUUUUAAAAACAGUUUUUUUUUAAAAACAGGUUUUUUUAAUAAAACAGAAUUUUUUAAAAUAAAACAGAUUUUUUUAAAAAUUAGUUUUUUUUAAAAAAGCGGUUUUUUUUUAAAAUACACAGAUUUUUUAAAAAAUAAUAAAAUAACAAAAACAGAUUUUAAAAAAUAAAAAAAUAAACAUUUUAAAGUUUUAAAAAUAACAAAAACAUAAUAAAAUAAAACAAAAAAAAAACAGAUUUUUUUUUAAAAAACUAUUUUUUUUAAAAUUCUGUGUUUUAAAAAAAACGUCUUUUUUUAAAAAAAAAUCUGUUUUUUUAAAAAACCUUUUUUUAAAAAAUAUGUUUUAAAAAAAACAGUUUAUGUUUUGUCGUAUUAUAAUAAGGACUCCUUUUGAGUUUGUAUAAUCUCUAGUAUACAAUAUUUGUAUUCGAACUCACAGUUUAUGUUUUGUCGUAUUGUACACGACAGUUGUAUUAUUAAGUUGUAUUUGAAUUUUGUACUAUGUAAGUGACGACCCAAGAUGGGUGACGUAUACCUAAUUUUGGGGGCGUCACACUGACCAUCUUUUGUACUUAGCAGCUUGGUGUGGUCCUCUUUGCAUUCUGCUUUGAGACUGGACCACAUCAUCUUUGGUGCAGCUGAUCUUCUUCCGUUCUGCUCAUCUUUGUAUAUUGUCAGUUGUGCACCAUCACCAUUUCCUGAACCCUUCUUAACAUGUUGGCAGACAUGGUUCUGCACUUGCUCUGCUUCAGCUUUGGGUUCAUGGUGAUUCGUAGAGUGGCUCUUAAGAUCUGCCUUGUGUUUUGCCACUCUUCUGAAUGCUAUCUUCUUUUCCUUCUCGGCUCUUAGCUUAGAUGCCAAUUCAGUGGGCAUUUUUAUCUUUGUUGAGUGAAGCUUUGAUCUGUUCAAGUCCAUCUUCAAAGUUGCUUCACUUUCACCUUCGUAGUCUCACUGUCACUGAGACUUUGUUCUAUUUGAGCUCAGGUGGAACUCGUAGAGUCAACGAUAGCAUUUUCACCAUCUCAACGAUUCUGCAACAUCACAAUCAUCAGCAACUCUUGAUCGUUGAAGCUCUGGCUUAUUUAUACUCCUUCCCAAUCUUUCCGUUGAGAAGUAGCCGUUAGAAGCUCUUUGAAAUGCUUCGCAAAUCUCGAGUUAUUUGGUAUAGACUGCAGAUGUGACAUGUCUUACUUUUCUGACAUUGCAGUCUACUGUUUCACCUACCCCGUCAGAGAUGUCACUUUAAUGUCUUGGGUAGGUCGAAGACUUUAUUUCCUCCUUUUGAUUUCUCGAUCAGAGGUUGUCCUUUUGCAUCGAUGCUCUCAAUAAGUUUUUGUACAAAUAUUAACCUUCAGAUUGAACCGUUGUCAAUGCUUCAAUCUUCAGCCAUUCGUACUCUACGAUUCUGAUGCAUGUCUUCAUGGACCUGAUUGUAGUGUCUUGUUGACUGGUAGAGACAACACUACGAUCUUGAAGAGUGUUGAUUGGAUCUUCAAUGUAGAACACCUCUUCCUUCUUUUGUGCAAUGCUUCAACACUUCUGUUUGCCUCAACAGCUCUCAAAGACUGAUGGAUUGACUUCUUUGUUCUGGCCCCUUCUGAAUAGUAAGACACUUCAGAUUUGUGGCGUGUCCAGCUCGCUUUCUCCUUGUGAUCUCCCAUUCACUUAUCAUCAAUGGACUGACCCAAUGCUUAAUCACUUUAGCCUUGUUCUUCAGAAGCUGUCCAGUGUCUCUGUAUGCACUUCAUCAGUUCUUUCUUUGUUUGGCAAAUACUACGAUCCUGGUUUCUUCCAAGAUCGUCGUCUUAUGUCUAUUUGACAGCAACUGCAUUUGCUGACUUUCCUUAGUCAGUUACUGAAGUCUUCUUCUUAUCUCCUUGUGGAAGACUUCAUCCUGAAUGGCUUCACAACUCAAUCUGGAUGCUGAUUGGGUUGGUGCUUAGAUCUUCUGUUAGCUUGCAUGCCAUUCGUUGAGUGCUCUCUAGUUUCCUUUAUGAUGGGAUGUAUCUUUGCAGUGCCAACCAUAGACUUCAUUCCUUUGGAUAUGUUGGGAGUGCUCAUUUGUUGAGAAUCGUAUUUGCUCUACGAUUCUACCUUGGCAUUGUGAGCACAUCUUUUGAGGUCUUAGUUCUGCACUCUAUAAUUCAUCUUUGGCUGUGCAGACACUACGACUCCGAGAUCAGAUCUUGACACUCUACGAUGUCUGUCGUUGUGCUUGUUGUCUUUAUCUGAUCUUGCUCAACUACGAUCUCUGCCUUUGAUAUGAUCAGUAGACUCUACGACUCUAAGUGUAGUCUACGAUUCUUGACUUGGCUUUGACAGAUACUUGGUUGGCUCGUAGGCAGGCUGUCUUUACGAUUCUGAACAUGACUUCCUCAGCAGACUACGGCCCUGAGGAUGUUCUCCUCGACACACUACGAUCCUUUCUCGUCUCUCCUGGCAGUCUACGAACUCCGAGAUCUACUAUCUUGCAGACUACGAUUCUGCCUCGAUAGCUCUCGAGUUUUCCUUGACUCUCUUGGCAGACUACGAUUUCUGGUGCAAUCAGACAAACCUAUCUAUUACAUCAUAAGAUCAACCUAACAUGCUUGAUCUUUCUAUGUUUAUAGUCCUUGUACAUCAUUUCUUUUUAAGGACUUUACAAAGCUGUUUUGCUUAUGUAGGAUCAACCUAACAUACUUGAUCAAUUCAUUCUAAGUCCUUGUACACAUGUUUCUAUUAUCUAUCAAAGGACUUUACAGCUUUUCUUAAUGCAAGCAUACUUGCAUAUCAUUCAUAUAUAUCAUAAUCAAAUCAUAUGUAACUAGGAAUAACAUUCACAUGCUUAUUCUUGACACAUUUGUAUUAAUGAAGUUUGUAUUUGAUUUAUGUAACAUGUAUUUGGCGACUCAGAAUGAGUUGUGUGUACCUAUUUUGGGGGCGUCACAUUAUACAUAAAAUAAAAUGUGAUUAGAUACAUCAUAGGGCAAAACAAUUCCAUACUUGAAAAAUUCUAUGAAUUUUUUUUAAAAAUAUAAAUUAAUAAGAAUGUAAGUUUUUAAUUAAUUUAUAAUAAUUAUGAUUAAUUAAAUAAUUUCAAAUUAAUUUUAUUUUAUAAAAUUUGGAAAAUUAAUUUUUAACCAUCAUAAUUCACAACCACCUUUUUUAGAGUUAUGUUAAGGUGACCAAAUAUUGUGGCAAAAUAAUGUGUCAAAUAUCUCCAUUCUUUUUUUGUGAUCAAUCUUUUGUCAACAAAAAGUAUUAUUGUCUUUUUAAUGUAGCAUAUGAAAUAUAAUUUAAGGGGCACUUUUUAUUAGGCAAUGUCGUCACAAAUGUUAUUGUGAUUUUAUUUAAUUUUUAUACUUAUUUUAUUUCAAAAUAAUUGUAUUAUCUAAUUUUGAAGGAUUUAAAUUGGGUAGUCUCACGUCCAAACAUGUGAGAAAAAUUUAUCUAUAUAUCAGAUUAUGAUGUUUCGAAGAAUUUAUCUGUAUAUCAAAUUAUGAUUGCGACGUAUUUACAUAUAUGAUAUAUAGGAAUUAAGAAGGGUCCCACUUUAAUUUAUUACANNNNNNNNNNNNNNNNNNNNNNNNNNNNNNNNNNNNNNNNNNNNNNNNNNNNNNNNNNNNNNNNNNNNNNNNNNNNNNNNNNNNNNNNNNNNNNNNNNNNNNNNNNNNNNNNNNNNNNNNNNNNNNNNNNNNNNNNNNNNNNNNNNNNNNNNNNNNNNNNNNNNNNNNNNNNNNNNNNNNNNNNNNNNNNNNNNNNNNNNNNNNNNNNNNNNNNNNNNNNNNNNNNNNNNNNNNNNNNNNNNNNNNNNNNNNNNNNNNNNNNNNNNNNNNNNNNNNNNNNNNNNNNNNNNNNNNNNNNNNNNNNNNNNNNNNNNNNNNNNNNNNNNNNNNNNNNNNNNNNNNNNNNNNNNNNNNNNNNNNNNNNNNNNNNNNNNNNNNNNNNNNNNNNNNNNNNNNNNNNNNNNNNNNNNNNNNNNNNNNNNNNNNNNNNNNNNNNNNNNNNNNNNNNNNNNNNNNNNNNNNNNNNNNNNNNNNNNNNNNNNNNNNNNNNNAAUCAAAUCCAUCAAAAUAAGGCCUCAAACUACUGGCCCAAUAGUAUCUUCUUGGGUCAUCUUAUCCCACCACAGGCUCCCAAAAGGUCAAAACUUGAAGGUACUAUUUGGUAGUAACUUAUUUCCUUAUAUGCAGACAAAUUUUUUCCCUAUCUUUCAAUAUGGGACUGGAGUGUUACAAACUCCUCCACUUAAAUUUCUGACGUCCCCGUCAGAAUCCGAUCACACACACGGCCCAAAGAUCUUUGCCUCUCUAGCCAUUGUGGGAUAAUACCGGCUGGCUUCGUGUCCCCACCUCCGGACCUCCAUCUCUCCAUUGUGGGAUAAUACCACCAGCCUUCGUGUCCCCACCUCCGGCAACCCGACCGGAUGACCCAACCCGAGCUUUCGAGAGUCGGCUCUGAUACCAUAUGAAAUAACCCGUGUCAAAUCCUGAGUCCGGAACAAAUCUCGGGUCAAAUCCCAAGUCUGAAUCGAAUCAAAUCCAUCAAAAUAAGGCCUCAAACUACUGGCCCAAUAGUAUCUUCUUGGGUCAUCUUAGCCCACCACAGGCUCCCAAAAGGUCAUAACUUGAAGGUACUAUUGGUAGUAACUUAUUUCCUUAUAUGCAGACAAAUUUUUUUCCUAUCUUUCGAUAUGGAAUUGGGGUGUUACAAUAUAUAUCUAUAUCAGCUAAUCAGGUUUGAAAUAUAUAUCGUUAAGGAUUUUGUCGUCAAUAUAUUUUUUUUCUUUUUUUUCUUAAUUUAUUUUAUUCUUAAUUAUGACGCCCCCAAAAUAGGUAUACCUCACCCAUCUUGAGUCGCCAAAUACAUGGUACAUAAUUUAAAUACAAACUUCUUUGAUACAGUACGACAAAACGUAGCUGACAGUUUCAACACGGAUAAUGUCUCGUAGAGAGUAUACAAACUCAAAUAAAGUCCUCAUUACAAUUAUUAUCACACUAUUUCACAUAAUAGUGAGGACUACUAUAGCCACCUAUCUGGACCGUCACUCCGUUCCCCAACUAGUCCUAGCUAUAUUCUCAUUUUCUGAAGAGAACAAUGAAAGCAAAGGGUGAGCUCAACUAGCCCAGUAAGAAACAUUAUGACUAAGAUAAUGCAGAAUAAAUUAUCGUUAGCCUUCAACAGUGUUAAACUGAUAAAAUAUAAUAAACAUCAAGUUUAACUGUAACGGAACAAGCAAUCCAUUAGAAGAGUCAAGUAGAGCAUGAUAUCUACUAUCUUCUAUGAUUUAAAAAGUUUAUCAACAGUUUUAUCGCUGAGACUCAGCUUAAUAAAUAAUCCACACCAUCGAAUCAUCCCUACACUACGGCCAAGGAUAUUCAUUAGUAUCACUAAUAGUCAUGAUCAUACCAACAACUGUCCAUCAAUGCACUACGGGCCAAUGAUGACUUUUACCACAUCAUUUGUAACAUUACGGUUCCUGAUUAUACCGAAUAAUCCCUAGUCAUAAUCAUACCAAUCAACAGUCCAUCUAUGCACUACGGCCAAAGAUGAUUUUCAUCACAAUAUAAGUAUGAGGAUGAUGACAAUGAUAUAAGAAUUCAAUUUAAAUGAGAGCAAGGAUAAAUUUUAAAGAUAUAUAAUUCAAUUUAUCCAGAAUUCAAUAAUGUCCAAAUUAUCAACAUGAUACUUGAAACAACUCGGGUCAAAUUCUGAGUCCGGAACAAAUCUUGGGUCAAAUUCCAAGUCUGAAUCAAAUCAAAUCCAUCAAAACCUCAAACUACUGGCCCAAUAGUAUCUUCUUGGGUCAUCUUAGCCCACCACAGGCUCCCAAAAGGUCAUGACUUGAAGGUACUAUUGGUAGUAACUUAUUUCCUUAUAUGCAGACAAAUUUUUCCCCUAUCUUUCGAUGUGGGACUGGGGUGUUACAACCUCCCCCACUUAAAUUUCUGAUGUCCCCGUCAGAACCGAUCACACACACGGCCCAAAGAUCUUUGCCUCCCUAGCCAUUGUGGGAUAAUGGGAUAAUACCGGCUGGCUUCGUGUCCCCACCUCCGGACCUCCAUCUCUCCAUUGUGGGAUAAUACCACCAGCCUUCGUGUCCCCACCUCCGACAACCCGAUCGGAUGACCCGACCCGAGCUUUUUGAGAGUCGGCUUUGAUACCAUAUGAAACAACCCGGGUCAAAUUUCGAGUCCGGAACAAAUCUUGGGUCAAAUCCCAAGUCCGAAUCGAAUCAAAUCCAUCAAAAUAAGGCCUCAAACUAUUGGCCCAAUAGUAUCUUCUUGGGUCAUCUUAGCCCACCACAGGCUCCCAAAAGGUCAUGACUUGAAGGUACUAUUGGUAGUAACUUAUUUCCUUAUAUGCAGACAAAUUUUUCCCCUAUCUUUCGAUGUGGGUCUGGGGUGUUACAAUACUGCUUUGUGGAGUAAAAUUCAAGAAUAAUAUUGUAUCAAAAAUAAUUUAGACAGAAAAAAAAUUAAUUUUUGUCAUGAAUAGUACCCUGGAUGAAUAGUAUCCGAGUGAAUAGUACCCCGUGAAUAGUAUUUCGAGAAUAGUACUCCGGCAUGAAAAAGUUAAAACUUAUCAAGAAUGCUCAGAAUAAUAUUUCUAUGAAAAGAUACUGGAUGAAGUGCAAAUAUCAAGGAUAUUCUACUAAUUUCAUAGAGUAUAGAAGCAAUACUUAUCAACAUAAGUGUAGAAUUAGGAAUAUGAAACGAAAUAAUAUUACUUAAAUACUACAGAGUAUAGAAGAAAAUAUUAUUUCUUACGAAUAUUGAACAAGAAUACUAUCACUUACGAAUACGAAAGAAAUAAUACCUCUUACCUUAGUAGAAGAUUGGAUACUGCAAUAAUGUGGUAACAGAAUACUCUUCUUCUUUCUCUCUUAUUCUCUCUAUACUUUCACUCUCUAUAGCUUGAAUGAAUUGGUGAAAAAUAAUGAAGAAAUGAGCUUCUAUUUAUAGGCUUGGCAGAGUAAAGAUAAAAUAGUUUUUUUGCCAUAAUUUAUGACAUCAUCGAUCAUAUUACAUCAUUGCUUACCUCAUCGUCCGAUGACAUCAUCGCUUACAUCAUAGGAAUUCAAAUUCAAUUUGUUCUCUUCCACCUCAUUUUACUUUAAUACCAUAAAUUUACUAUAAUAAUGUUACCAUUCAAAUUAUAAAAAACGUAUUAUUAUAUAAUCACAUCAUACUACUAUAAUGUAAUAUUAUAAUAAUAUAUUUGAAUGAAUUAUUUUAUCGAAAAAGAUAAAAUACCAACAUUCAACAAAUGUCACAUGCUAAAAUUUCUCACUUUAAAUCCACAUUGAAUAAAUAUUUUCUUAUCAUACAUAUCAACAAUUAAUUAUUCAUAAAUAAUAUUACAAAAUUACAAUAUCGACAACCAGGUCGUUCCCAGGAAAGAGGGAGCUUUCCGAUAAGGAUUUCUCCCUAUUAGCGCGCAAUUAGGUGACCAAACUCCUUUCCUCGACAAAACUUUCUAGACAUUGACAAUAAUGCAAAUAAUAAUAUUAUUCAAAUAAUAUGAAUUAUUGAUUUGAUAAUUUGAAAUAAUAUGCAAUGACAAUUAUUGAAUCAAUAAUAUAAAAUAUCAACGUAGCAAUUAUUGAAUCAAUAAAAUAAAAUAUUGAACAUUAAUUACUGUAACAAUUAUUGAGUAGUGACUUCUUACGUAAGCAUCAAUAAUUCAAGAUACUGUAGCCACGCGUACUACUGUACUUUUACCACCGGGUAUUUCAACACUUAACGGUAAAACUUUCGGCGUUUAUUUUAUAAAAUAAUAUUUCUGUCGUUUUCUAACUCCGACAAUAAUUCUGUUGUGGGGUCCACCAAUGAUCGUGCAGUCGUACGGAUAUUCCCCGACAAAAAGAAUAUUCCCCGACCAAACGAAUAUUUUAUAACAACUUGCUUACUUUGCAAAAUUUAUAAAUAUUACCCACAACUAUAACAUUAUAUCAAAUCCAUACCAUAAUAUUCAAAAUGAUAUUUAGAGAAAAAAAAUCUUUAUUCAUAAAAGUUGGGGUCUUACACUUCUACUUUUGCCAAACAUGUGUUCUCAAACAAAAAUUGAAGUUAGAAAGAAAUAAGAAUAAAAAAGAAAAUAUACCGAUAAAUAGUACAUCAUGUUCCAAGAGAAGUAAAAACUUCUAAAUUUAGCAAGCUUGCUAAGAAUCAAUUCAACCUACAAGAUAUUAUAAAAAAUUUGCUCAAACUUAUAUCGCAUUAGUACAAUAUCAUUCAAACAACAAUUUCUAAUUUAAAUAAUACAUUUGCUACUGAAAUUUCUUCAUGCUUGUAAAUAUCAAUAUUGAUCCAAUUUCAAGAAGCUGAAUCUCCCAUCUUUUACCUCGCCUUCAGCUUACGUGGCUUGUGAGUUGUACAUUACAAAAAUUCACUCAACCUUUCCAAACCACACUCUAUGCCUUACAUUUAUAGUAAGUUCUACAUUACAAAAUUUUCACUUGGUACAACCCAUAUAGAGACAUACAAAGAAAUAUCAAUACAUAUUUCAAAAGGGUGGCCCAAGUGUAAAAUUAUCUCUCAACAAAAGUACAAAAUAAACUAGAAUAUUAAAUACAAAAUAUAACAAAUACACUAAAUAGAUACACGAAAAAACUCAUUCAAAAUUCAUAUCACAAUAAGUAGGACAUCAACCACCAACGAAACAUAAUAACAACACAUCCAAACAUAUAUAACAAAAUAAAAAAAUAACAUAAAAAAAUUAUAAUCACAUUCAUCAACGAAACAUUACAUUCAAAACAAAUAUUACAAUAUUCCGAAAAAACAUCACAAUUACAAAAAAAAUAACACAUAUAACACAUUCAUCAAGCAAGACCAAUACAAAAAAUUACAAUAUUCCAAAAAAAGUUUAAUAACUAUCGGUAAACAUAUAUAACACAUUUUAUAUAAUAUAUAUUUAUAUAAUAUAUAUAUAUGGGAACUGAUCCGUGGACAACGUUAGCUAUUGUCCCUAUUUCAACUAACGCUCAUCCAGCCGUCCAAAAUUGGAGUUAAUGGCUGAGAUGAGCGCCCAGCCGCUAGGGGGAGUAGCGGCCAGCAAAAAAAAAAUUUGGCUUAAUUACUGAUUAUCCUAAUUAUUCUCGUAAAAUAAAAUAAAAUAAUAAAUAAUUAUAAGGAUAAUCAGUAAUUAUCUUUAUACUUAUCCUUAUACUUAUUAACAAAAUAAGUAUGUAUAAGAAUAAUGACUGAUUAUUGUUUUAUGAUUUUUAAUUAUAAAUAGAAAAUAGUGAUUGAGUUUAUAUAUUUGAGUAGGAAUAUAAUAUAAAUUCAAUCACUAUUUUCUAUUUAUAAUUAAAAAUCAUAAGAUGAUAAUCAGUAAUUAUUCUUAUACAUAAGAUUGAAUUUAUAUUAUAUUCAUACUCAAAUAUAUAAAUUCAAUCUUAUGUAUAAGGAUAAUUACUGAUUAUCAUCUUAUGAUUUUUAAUUAUAAAUAGAAAAUAGUGAUUGAAUUUAUAUUAUAUUCCUACUCAAAUAUAUAAACUCAAUCACUAUUUUCUAUUUAUAAUUAAAAAUCAUAAAACAAUAAUCAGUAAUUAUUCUUAUACAUACUUAUUUUGUUAAUAAGUAUAAGGAUAAGUAUAAAGAUAAUUACUGAUUAUCCUUAUAAUUAUUUAUUAUUUUAUUUUAUUUUACGAGAAUAAUUAGGAUAAUCAGUAAUUAAGCCAAAUUUUUUUUUUUGCUGGCCGCUACUCCCUCUAGCGGCUGGGUGCUCAUCUCAGCCACUAACUCUAAUUUUGGACGGCUAGAUGAGCGUUAGUUGAAAUAGGGACAAUAGCUAACGUUGUCCAUGGAUCAGUUCCCUAUAUAUAUAUAUAUAUAUAUAUAUAUAUAUAUAUAUAUAUAUAUAUAUAUAUAUAUAUAAUAUAAUGUGUAUNNNNNNNNNNNNNNNNNNNNNNNNNNNNNNNNNNNNNNNNNNNNNNNNNNNNNNNNNNNNNNNNNNNNNNNNNNNNNNNNNNNNNNNNNNNNNNNNNNNNGUGUAUCUAUACAUACAUAUGUAUAUUACGUAUAUAAUAUAAUAUAUAUUAUACUCUUAUACAGAUAUAUAUGUAUACAUACACAUGUAUAUUAUGUAUAUUACAUAAUAAUAUAAUAUAAAUAUAUCACUUUCCUAAAUAUUUAGAACCUAUAAAACGAGCCAUCUUCUACGCCUAUACCUACUUACGGCUCUUUUUCUACUUAAAUCUAUCACAAAAUUCAAAUCCCACUACAUUCUUACUACCUCCCUUUUCUCUUCAAGAAAGGCUGCUACUUUUGUCAAACCUGUGUUCUCAAACAAAGAUUGAAGUUAGAAAGAAAUAAGAAUAAAAAAAAUAUAUAUCGAUAAAUAGUACCUCAUGUUAUAAGAGAAGUAAAAACUUCUAAAUUUAGCAAGUUUGCUAAGAAUCAAUACAACCUGCAAAAUAUUAUAAAAAUUUUGUUCAAACUUAUAGCGCAUUAGUACAAUAUCAUUCAAACAACAUUUUCUAAUUUAAAUAAUACCUUUGCUACUGAAAUUUCUUCAUGCUUGUAAAUAUCAAUAUUAAUCCAAUUUCAAGAAGCUGAAUCUCCCAUCUAUUACCCUCGUCUUCAGCUUACAUGGCUUGUGAGUUGUACAUUAUGAAAAUUCACUCAACAUUUCCAAACCACACCCUAUGCCUUACAUUUAUAGUAAGUUCUACAUUACAAAAUUUUCACUUGGCACAACCCAUCUAAAG